GAGUCAACACCUUAAAAUUUUUUUCUCACACCAUCAACUACCAAGCAAGAGCUGUGUCUGUCUGUCUCUGUCUCUGUCUCUGUCUCUGUCUCUGUCUCUCUCUCUCUCUCUCUCUCUCUCUCUCCAUCAAGGAUGUUUUGCUGUUUUGUUUAUCCCUCUGAGGAUUGGAUGAGGACACUUUUCUUGACUCCCUGAGCUCCAACCCUCCAUCAUGAACCCUUGGCCUCCGGUGGCAGAGGAAAUCUCCCUGGGUCACGUCCCUAUUAUAUUAGCAUCUCAGCCACCGCUCCAGAGGUGCGCGCGAACCACGAAGGGUUGUUUGCAGAGUCCCGCAGCAGGUGUCACGGGCAGGGAAGGGACAGCAAGGACUCCGAAGCACCAGGGUGGGGAAUGACAGAUGGACCCGCGGCGCGAAGUGAGACGCCCUGAACCUGUCAGCUCCCGCUGUCACCUGCUGGGAAGGACCGGGCAGGCUGAGGGUAGCGGCGGUCCGGGACAAGCGCUUCCCGAGGUGAAGCGCCCCCUGAGGACACCGUCCGCCGCACCAGCCGGCCGACCCAGACCCGCUCCUCUGCGCGUGCGCACCGUCCCCGCCUCGAGCGCCUAAAGUCCCGCCCCACCGGGAGGGCACGCUGGGGUCGCCGACGUGAUGCGUGGAGAAUCUCAGCCAAUGAGAGGAAGAAGGCGGGACAAAUGCAGCGAGGAGGGCCCUGUGCAGCUUCUCUGAACUCCACCCCUCCCGGCCGCAUAAAGCUUCGUCCAUCCCAGGCGAUUCAGCCCCUAAAAGCGCAAGCCUAGUGUCUUCUUUCUACUGUAAACUCACGUUUACUGGGAAAAUUACAUCUUUGUUGAAGACUGUACAAAGUGACUGACUGUCUAGAACUUUACCAUUACGGAGAGAUGAUGAUCAGUAACCAAGAUUAUCUUGGACUAUCUUUAGGUUCUUUAAAAAAACUGCUUAUUACCAACCUUUGUAGCUGACCUAAGAUCUUUGUGCCUGUUAUGUAAAAAGUUUGGAAUGUAUUGUUAAACUUAGCCAACGACUGGCUUUUCAGCAGUGCUCAAAAGAAGAGUAUCAUCAGCUGGAGAUUUUCCUGCUAUGCUGUAGCCUACCUCCCCGAUGUCCUUUCCGCUAUAUUUGGCAAAUGUAUUGAUUUAUGGUCUUUUGUUCUAUGGCUAUAAGACUGCGUGUAAACCUCUUUCACAGUAGAACAUGUAAUUCUGGGAAACCCGAAUCUCUGUUACUAAGCACUAUUCACUCAAAGUUGCCUCAGAAUAAACUUUCUUUUGGUUUUUGUUU
Molecule: long non-coding RNA, 1300 nt
Organism: Mus musculus (house mouse)
Lineage: Eukaryota; Metazoa; Chordata; Mammalia; Rodentia; Muridae
Product: predicted gene, 30836
Exons: 2
Source: RefSeq, a predicted model, not a curated record